AGCUAAUAUAGCUCUUUUAAAAUUUUUCUAGCUUUCUGACUUUAGUCAGAAAACCU
Molecule: small nuclear RNA, 56 nt
Organism: Rattus norvegicus (Norway rat)
Lineage: Eukaryota; Metazoa; Chordata; Mammalia; Rodentia; Muridae
Product: U7 small nuclear RNA
Source: Ensembl